CCCUUACUACACGUAUAAUUCGCGAGUAUGCACCUCGACGUUCAAAAUCACUCAAAACGGUACAUAAAAUAUUAGGUUCCACGCGAAAUUUUUGUUUUGCCAACUUCGACCCCUCAGCGAACUUUUCAAGAGUCCCAGAGAUCCAUCCGUCGAAUUUUCGAUCUAAUUGUUCCAGCGCAUUCAGAACGACUGGGGCAUCAAAUCUACCAUUUCAUUUCGUCCGAUUCGGUCGGCGAUUUGCGACAAAACCAACCCUCUCCAAUCUCCAAAAACCACACCUAUACAUAUAGAUCCAAUAAAACUCUUUUUCUCGAAAAUCGUGCAUCAGAACCCAAAUCCGUCAGUGCCAUUAGUUCCAAGAUAAUCGAACCGUCGAAAACGAGCUAUUGGAUCACUAUGAACGAAGUCCAAUACACACCAGAAGCCUUCUCUACUCAUUGGCUUCUCCGGAAAACCGGAGUUACUAUUCACUUUAAGUGAUUAGUACAGGUUGCAUCUUCAUCCUAACUCGUUUUCUCCUGAAACUUGAUAAGUGCUUAUGUAAUUACAUUACAUACAAAAACAUCGUCAAUAGAGGGUUUAGCUACACUGUCAAAAUCUCG
Molecule: long non-coding RNA, 602 nt
Filed under: Ananas comosus (pineapple)
Lineage: Eukaryota; Viridiplantae; Streptophyta; Magnoliopsida; Poales; Bromeliaceae
Description: long non-coding RNA (ACOM_LNC001743)
Source: RNAcentral